AGCGAACGCUGGCGGCAGGCUUAACACAUGCAAGUCGAGCGGGCACUUUCGGGUGUCAGCGGCGGAUGGGUGAGUAACGCGUGGGAACGUGCCUUCUGGUUCGGAAUAUCACAGGGAAAUUUGAGCUAAUACCGGAUACGCCUUUUUGGGGAAAGGCGUGCUGCCGGAGGAUCGGUUCGCGUCUGAUUAGCUUGUUGGUGAGGUAACGGCUCACCAAGGUGACGAUUAGUAGCUGGUCUGAGAGGAUGAUCAGCCAGACUGGGACUGCGACACGGCCCAGGCUCCUACGGGAGGCAGCAGUAGGGAAUAUUAUGCGAGGGGCGCAAACCUGAUCCAGCCAUGCCGCGUAAGUGGUGAAUGCCUUAGGGUUGUAAAGCUCUUUUAUCCGAGACGAUAAUGACGGUACCGGAGGAAUAAGCCCCGGCUAACUACGUG
This 435-nucleotide ribosomal RNA is filed under the name uncultured bacterium. RNAcentral describes it as "partial 16S ribosomal RNA". It matches the Rfam family "Bacterial small subunit ribosomal RNA", at positions 29 to 507 of the family's 1533-position model. The record is from RNAcentral.